Molecule: long non-coding RNA, 973 nt
Organism: Bombus huntii
Lineage: Eukaryota; Metazoa; Arthropoda; Insecta; Hymenoptera; Apidae
Exons: 2
Source: RefSeq, a predicted model, not a curated record
UAGGAACGUUGGCGAGUGAUGCAGCGAUAUUUGCAAGCCACAAGAUCCUAAAAUUGCAUUCUCCUACCUUCAAGAUCACCUGAAUUUGCUCCAAAAGUAGCUUCUCAAAUGGAGAGCUAAAAUCAACGAGACUAAGUCAACCCGUGAAGACGGAUGCACCGUGCUAUGUAUCAAACAAAACGCUGCACGAUGACUCUGACACGCAAUUCAUCAGACGGACAAUACGAGAAAGAAGCAACAGCCACUACAUCAAACUGGAUCUUCGCAGCAAUCUUCUCGGUUCUACCGGUUCUGAAGAAACAGGGUUCUGGAAGACUAAGAAGACAGUGGCCAAAGUGACGUCAAAUGAGUCGACGUUACGACAUACAGGGUGCACCAAUAUAUUGAGAUUACUGUGUUUUUGAUAGUUCGAUCGAAAAUCGCUUUAUCAGGUACAGCGCGGUUUCGAGAGAGUUUCAACGUGAUUAUAGUAAAUUUGUUGUCAACUCUCUGUUCCUCAUGAUUUUUCGACAUCAACUUGAAUUUCUCGCAAAUAAACCAAUAGUUUUUUAAUAAAACACCUAUCUGCUAGAGGAUUCCAAGGCGAAUUUUCUCUACUUUUUUUUUCUGCUAGUGUGGACUCUUCAGCAAGGCUUUCACCUAACAGACCUAUACCUUAGACACAACGAGAGAAGACAGAAAGUGAGUGUUUCGUCCAAGAUCUUACUUUUUUUUUCAUUAUUUAAUUUGAGCUUUACAAUUUGUCCAACUGGGCAUUCGGUAAAUUGUUUCUCUCUACUGAUCACGACUCCUGGCUCACCCUGUAUAAGGAACCCGAGGCACCAAAUUAGCCUAAAGAAUCUUCUCUUUGAUUCCGAUCGCCGAUGCGAAGAUAGGAAAAAGAAAGUUCAUUUUUUGUUGUUACAGUAACAGAUUAUAUCAGCUUGGAUUAAACGAGAUGUUGUACGUAUUAGAAAAUAAAAAAAUCCUUCAA